CUCCACUGUACAACUAUACUACACUGUCUCCACUGUGCUACAACCCUGAAAACAUGCUGGGAUGUGCGAAAGGAUUUGUACAUCGUGCCAAGCCUGAGGUUCAGCCAGUUCAGCAGAAACUGAGGCGCUUACUUUUCUCAGCCCGCGAUGAGGUGCCCAAGGAACUACAGAAGCUCGUACAACAGGAUGUAAUCGAGCAUUUGGAUACAUCUUUUGGAUGCAAAAGAAGACUUUUAUUUUGACAUAGCAGUAACGCAGGCCGGUGCUUCUUAUUUCCGCUGUGUGUAUGCACGCUUUGUGAAGAACAUGGACUGCAUUUGUGUGAUGUUUUUUUUCUUGUUCACCGUACAUCAUGCAUCUCACUGAGAGGGUUAAAAGCUGUGUAUAUUAUAACUGAAAUGCACAGCUACAGUUCUUUCACUUUCAAGAUUCGCGAUCACACGUCCUAUCAGUCAUCUCUCCUUACUCUGUUUAUGUGGACAUGGACCCAGCGGAUAUUCACGCCAAGAGGAUAAAGAUGGGAGUCUUAACUGUUGUUGAUGAUGUUGCCACCAUCCACUCAUACCCAAAUAUAAGACUAAUGCAUCAGACAGUGAGCUGGGGGCCAUUUUGUCCCAGGUGGUGGAGGGGGAGGAGCACUCCGUGCUGUACAUCAGCCGGAAGCUGUCAAUUGAGAAUCGCAUCUUCAUUUUAAACACUGAGGAUCUGAGUGGAAAAGUGACAAGAAUACUUCAGAGGCACCAAUCACCUCCUGUUCCAAAGAGCCUAAGCCUAAGCGAGGUCUGUAAAAUUGUUUUGAAUGUUGGAAAAGGUAAUAAUCUGUUUUUCUUGUCUUUGUUGAAAGUAUAAUUACACAGGAUUGUUUUGUGGAGUUUAGGUUACAAAAGCCUAGAAACUGUAGUUAGGUUUUGAUGACAAACUGUUUUUGGUAAUGACUUGCAGCAAAAAUGUCCUUUCUGCUCAUUAUUUUUCUCUUUAGAUAUCAUAUCUUUUUGAGCAAAUCAUUAUUUAGCUUAUUUAUAAUUCUGAACAAAGAAACAAAUGCAUAGAAACAUUCAAACAUUCCAGUAUUAAAAAUCAGCUGCUAAAUAUCUAAUUCCAUCCCAAGUCUAUGACUGUGUUUGUCUGAAACAGUGUCAAGCCACAUUCCAAUAUGAUGGCAGCAGGACGAAGAAGGGUCAUAAGAUUCACACCCUUGCAGUAUUUAUAUCUUUUUGCAGCAAUAGAUGUGUUUUGAUCAAUUUAGGUAUGAAUGAAGUAUGGCUUGAAGUAUGUUUAGAUCUUGUAUCUGCUAUCAUCUCUGGCAGCAUCUUCAUUCUCUUAAAUAAUGAGACAUGGAGGCAAACAGAAAACUCCAAUUUCACAUACAAUUGGGUACAGCUGUGUAGAAUAUUGACCAGCUUUUCAUGUCAUUACUUAAUUCUAAAAAUUACAUGUAGACUGUUGGAGAAGGAGGGGGAACCAUGUACACAGCAUCUACUAGCAGCCAACUCUAUCAGGUAACUUUCAGACUUAAAGACUUACUUUUAGAUUUUGACAACAUACUGUUUCCCUUGUUAUCUAAACAUCGGGUACCCAUACCAGGCUACAUUUUUCCAGUCUUCAACUGUCCAGUUUUGGUGAGCCUGUGCCCACUGCAGCCUCAGUUUUCUGUUCUUGGCUGACAGAAGUGGAACCAGACAUGGUCUUCUGCUGUUGUAGCCCAUCUGCCUCAAGGUUCGACAUGUUGUGCAUUCUAAGAUGCUUUUCUGCUUGCCACAAUUGUACAUACCAUCUGAGUUAUCCGAGUUACUGUAGCCUUUCUGUCAGCUCGAACCAGUCUGGCUGUUCUCCUUUGACCUCGCUCAUCAAGAAGGCAUUGCCAUCUCCAGAACUGCUGCUCACUGGAUGUUUUUUUUUCUUUAUUCCACCAUUCUGAGUAAACUCUAGAGACUGUUAUGCAUGAAAAUCCCAGGAGAUCAGCAGUUAUAGAAAUACUCAAACCAGCCCAUUUGGCACCAACAAUCAUGCCAUGGUCAAAGUCACUGAGAUAAUUUUUUUUUCCCCUAUUCUGAUGGUUGAUGUGAACAUUACAUUAUUAUUAUUAGGGGGCCAACCACCGAAGGUGCAUAGGCACCCUAUCGUUAUUCUAUGUUUUCUUCUUCUUCUUCUUCUUCUUCUGGCUAGGAAGUCUAUGGGAACCUAUAGAACUGUCUGGUAAAAAAAAUUUGAAAUUUGGCACACUGAUUAGGGAGGGUCUACGGAACAUUCUGAGCAAAUUUGGGCCAAGUGUUGCUGACGCUGUAGCGCCACCAUCGGGUCAAAUUUGGGCCUAAUUUGGAAGUACAUUUAUGCUAAUAACUUUUGAACUAUGUGUCCAAAAUUUAAUCCCUGAAUUCCCUGGUUUGAGGCGAGUUCAAUGCACCCUAUGAAGUCGAUUUCCGCCCAAUUAGAUUUUCCGCCAUCUUGGAUUUUGUCCAAAAAAGUUUUUUCAUUACUCCUCUUACAAAUUUUGUCUAAUCAUCACCAAAUUUGGCAUGCAUCAUCUUCAGAGUAAUCCUGACAAAAAUUAACAAAAGAAUUUUGAAUAUUCCAAAGGGUUUGCCCAUAAUGGGCCAACAAAUCUGAUGGCGAAGCUGCCAAACAGGAAGUGAGGCUGUAUCUCAGCAACGACUUUGCGCACUGACACAAAACUUGGUAGAUAUCUUCAGAAACUUGACCUGAGGCUAUGCAACAAAUUUCGUGGUAGCACCACCUACUAGCAACUAUUAACAUGCCAUAAAUACUUACAUCUAACUGCCAUGUUUGCUGCUACUCCUCGAAUUUUGUCCAAUCUUCACCACAUUUGGCUCACAUCAUCUCGACACCUGUCUAAACAAUGCUGCAUGCAAUGACACGCUGCUGCCCGUUUGGUCAUCUAGACCUUUCCUCCUACAGUCAGAGAAUUCCACCACUGUCCAUGGUCAAAACAUACACAUCAUGAGUGACACUACAAAUCAGUCUUGAAUCCCUUUGCCUAAAGUUAUGGCUCUGCUUUUCUGUGAUUGCUUAGGCAACAGUUGUAGCAUGUCUGUGAAUGUGUGGUUCACCAAGUCUGGGUGCUUGGCCCCCGAAAAUGCUUCUUGUAGCUUCAUUAUUAUUAUUAUUAUUAUUAUUGUUAGUAGUAGUAGUAGUAGUAUUGUUAAAUUUAAAAGGUACAUUUUUGAUAGAUUUAUGAAAAUUUGAGGAAUAAAGGUGUUGAAAAUAAUUGAGUAACAAAGGUUUGCCUACAAAGGCCCAACAUGUUGUCCAUCUGGGCCUCAUCAUUUAGCCCAUGUGAGUUCUACACUGCUUGGCUAAAGGAUAAAGAUGAGGAUAUAGCAGGUGCUUUUCUUAGUUUCUUCUGUCAUCUUGUUAUUCAUUAUUCAUACUCAAGUUUCCAAUUGAAACAUUUGAAACAGAGCAUACAGAUACAUGAGAUGGGAUUCAAAGGACAUUUCUGCCUGGAAAUAAAUGCAGUGGAAGGCUAAGGUUAUAAAUGUGUGCAGUGCCCUUCCUCGUGCAGAAAUGAUGUAGGAAUCUGAUCAUAAGUAUUCACUGGGGGUGCACUGAUAAUGCCAGGUGUAAAAGGCUAUGCAUUUCACUGUCCACUUGUGAUCAGAUCACUCGACCAGGGAUGUAAGCCAAGCUUUUCCAAUAGGGUGGCCAGGUUAGACCCAGUGACUCUAUUUGGGUGGCAAAGCAUUAAUCUGCAUCUAUAGAAAAUGAUGAAUGUGACAAUACACUACUACGAAGACCACCACACUAUCAGUACCAAAAAUUACACUGCACACCUGAACACAGUCACCGCUUCUUCUUUAGAAAUAGCCCAGAUUUUCAUUAGAACAUUGCUCUUAGUUAUUCUAGUUUCAUUAGAAGAUUCUAGUUUUAUUAAAACAUCGCUCCUAGUCUGUUUAGUGAUGAUUCGAAGCCUGUUUGUUUGAUUGCAUUUCUGGAUUACAAUCUGUUUGUUUGAUACUUUUGAUUCCUGUCUUCCCUACAUUACUCUGUUGCCAAUAUGUUGCCUGAUAUUUAUUUAUUAUUUUUUUUUGUACUUUUUAUUUAUCCUUCUGGUCUGUUUGCUCUGGAUAGUGUGGAGGUAUUCAAAGACUUUUAUUUUGAAGGGGUUUUUUUCUUUGGAAAAAAGCUGAGACCGGAAGUGAUGUGAGCAUGGCGGGAGUGAAAAACGGGGGUGAUAGAAAAAAUACAAACUCGAGGUGCGAGCGCUCGAUGAGCAGAGAGUGCCAGAGAGGCAAAGAGUAAAAGAAAUAAACCCCACUUCUCGUGAUUCUUUUGCUUUUACGUGGACAGCAUUUGGCGAGUAUCGAGGUGAGCUGACGAGGAGCUGGACCGAGCUUGUGCUGUUGCGAGUCUUAUCACAGGAGUGUGAUUGCUGUGGAGCCGAGUUGUGUGCCUAUGUGAUACGAGAGGGGCGUCGCCCAUUGCAUUUGCUGAGAUGGUGUUUGCGUGAGAGUUUGUCUCCGUCUGAGAAAGCUGAGGUACUGUGAAUUUUAUUCAUUUUUGUUCAACUACAGUUGACAUCCGGAAGAAAUACACAGACAGUAUUUUUGUUGUUCUUAAAACGAAGCUGAUUUCUGAACGAGUGACCUCUGCUGCUAUUGUUGCGAGAAAAAUCUUCACAUGCCAUUUCGACACGUUACUGCCGCUGUGUAGAUGCGAACGGCAUUGCAGACUCUUUGAUGCUCUUUUGACAGUACUAAUUUUCCUGUUUUGAGUGUUAAACCAUUGCUCUGGAACUUAGUAUUAUUUUCUCUAUUUCAUAGUUGAAUUUUUUGGAUGUUCUACAGUGUUUUCGUCUCAACCUUUGGAAAUUUUUUAUAUAUUUUUUUUUGAUGGACACUUGAAUAGACUUUCUGAAAUGGGAACAGAGCUUGCUUUUGAACAAAACUGCCUCUGUUUUUUUGGUGUGUUGAAAGAUUUUCCUGUCUACCGGAAGCAUUCGCAUGGACAGUGAUUUUGCUGAUUUUCUCUGAACUGUUCUUUCUUGUUUUUUUUCUAAAAGGAAAAGACUUGAUAUCAACAGGUUUCCCAUUGGAUUAACUGAUUACCCUGCCAUAUAAGGACGCUCCAACACCGGCCCAGUUCUGCGGUGAGGUAAAAGUCUAAUAUUGGGUUAUGACUCUUACUCAGGUAUGUUGAUUGUCAUAUAAAAAGUCUGCGAAGUGAGAGUAGUAAAAAUUUACUACGAACUGAGGAAGACUUUUAGGUUUAACUGAAUAUCACCUUUUGAGGGAACUGUUUCCUUGAUUCUGAUUGUUGUGGGGAUUACAGCAGUAAACAAAGAGACUCUAAAUGCACUUUUGAGUUAAGUAAAAAUUUUGUACAUUUCCAUUGGCCUAUUCACAAGUGAAAACUUUUGUGUUUCUUUAUUUUCUGUUAUUCUUGUGUUUUCUUUGUGUUUACCAAACACUGUAAAAAUAAACCCAAACUUCUGUUAUCUUGGAGUAGGGGCAUUCCUCCUGUCUUGUGGGCUGAUAGAGGGGAAGAAGGGUUAAUAUUACUUCUUACUCUGGGAGCUACCGUGUACGUUACUAAAUUCCAGAGCCUCAAUCCUCAUCAGUCACCGCUACAAAAGACAAAGGUGUACUUAGCAAGGCAGAUAAAAACAUACUUAAAUAAAUAAGUACAGGAAUUAAAUGUACUAGGGGUUGAAGACCUAGAUCUUGUCAUUUCCCUAGUCGUCCAAGAUACAUUGCAGAACAUAAUCUUACUCCUACGUUGUAGUGAAAUUUCCCACUACAAUAGUAAUAAAAUUCAUCUGCAUCAAACUCUGUGCCUGAUUCAUGAAAACAUACGCUAUUGUUGCAGUAUACUAUCAUUUAUGAAUUCAAUAGCUUUAGCUAAUGGUAGCUAAUAACAAACUAAGAAAUCUAGUGUUAUGUCUCCAAAUAAUUUACAGUCAGGCCCAUAAGUAUUUGGACAGUGACAAUUUUCAUAAUUUUGCCUCUGUACACCACCACAAUGGAUUUGAAAUGAAGCAAUCAAGAUGUGAUUGAAGUGUAGAUUUUCAGUUUUAAUUCAAGGGGUUUAACAACUAUAUUGCAUUAACAGGAAUUACAGCCAUUUCUUUGCAGAGUCCCUCCAUUUUCACAGACUUAAAAGUAAUUGGCAAACUAACAAUCAUAUAUAGGAUUAUUUGUAAUACUUGGAUGCAAAUCCUUUGCAGUCAAUGACUGCCUGAAAUCUGGAACCCAUGGACAUCAACAAAUGAUGAAUUUCCUCCCUUGAGAUGCUUUGCCAGGCCUUUACUGCAGCUGCCUUCAGUUGCUGCUUGUUUGUGGGUCUUUCUGCCUUCUAUUUUGUCUUCAGUAAGGGAAAACAAUGCUCAGUUGGGUUUAGGUCAUCAGGCAUUUAAGAACAUUUAAUUUCUUUGCUUGUUUUGGGUCAUUAUCUGUCUGUACUGUGAAGCACUCUCCUGUCAGUUUUGCAGCAUUUGACUGAAUCUGAGCAGAAAGUAUAGCUCUAUAUGCUUCAGAAUUCACCUGCUACUUCUGUCAGCACUCACAUCAUAAACAUGUGUUUAAGGCCCAGUUCCUUUGGCAGCCAUACAUGCCUAUGCUGUAACACUUCCUCCACAUGUUUGACAGAUGAUGUGGCAUGCUUUGGAACAUGAUCCCUUCCUUUCCUUCUCCAUAAUCUUCUCUUCCCAUCAUUCUGGUACAAGUUAAUCUUGCAGCAGAACUGGUCAGGCUUUUUUUUUUUUUAAGAGGUUUUUAGCAAAGUCUAAUCUGGCCUUUCUGUUGUUGAGUGCCAGUGGUUUGCAUCUUGAGGUAAACUGUCUGUAUUUACAUUCAUGAAGGUGUCUCUUGACUGUAGACUUUGACAAAGAUAUGCAUACCUCCUCUAGAGUGUUCUUGACUUGGCUAGAUGUCGUGAAGUGGUUUUUCUUCAACAAAGAAAGAAUUUAGCAUUCAUCCACUUUAGGUGUCUUCUGUCUUCUUUUUAAGAAUGUACCAAAUUGUUGAUUUGGCCACUCCUGUCUGUAUAUCAUUAAGGUCAAAAAGUUUGGCCAGUGUACAUGGUCACCUGUACAUUGUCGUCAGUGGGCCAGGAAAUAAUUUGCUUCUGGGUUAGCUAACUAAACUUUCUUGUUCUCUCCAAUGCACAAUGAGUGAACUUUGAAAUUUGCUAGAGACAUUGUGAAUGUUGGUAUUAUUCAAAGUAGCCUACCACAGUGAGCUUUACCAAGUUGUUCAGUUUCAAAUUAUGACAUUGUUAAACCACACAUGGAUUUAGCAAAGAAUCAGAAUACUACUACUACUACUACUAAUAAUAAUAAUAAUAAUAAUAAUAAUAAUAAUUAUAGCCCUAAGCAGCAAUCUACAGGGGCCAAGCACCACAUGCAGAUCACACCAGAGGUAGCUAAUUCUCCCCAAGAUACACAGAACACUUAAAAAAAAAAAUUAGAUGAACAUACUAUCAAAAUUUGGUGAUGGUAGUUUAAUGAAAUGCUGUGAAGCGCUUGAUGACGUGGCAGCCGAGAUAUGCAGCCUCACGUUUGAGAAACGUGUGGUGGGUCCAAGAUGGUGUCCUGCUAAGUUUGUUUUUACUUUGCUCUGCUGACAAAUUUGCUUUUAACAGCCAAAUUACAUAAUUUAUACUCCUGCUACACGCGGUCUGUGUCCGUAAAUACUAUGUAGUGCCCCUCGAUGCUUUAAAGAUGAAACCUGCAGCAGACAAAAGAAAAGAAAAAGAGAUAUUGCAUGUUUCACGUGUGUUUGAUAACAUGAGUUUUCACAGCUAUGCAUCUCCCAGUGAGAUCCUCUUAAAUACUUCGCUUCCAGAGAGCCCGGGCAAACCUCCCUCAAAGAAGCGUAAAGCAGAGGACGACGCCGUGAUUUCCACCCUCUCUCAGCUGAUAAAUAAUUGCUCUGACGCCCUGGAGAAAAUGGUGGGGGACAACGCUCUUAAAAUUGAAGGUCUCAAAAAAACUGUGGACUUUGUUUGUGCUGAACUGAAUAAUAUUAAACAGAGGGUCGGCCACUUCGAAGUUAGACUUGUUACUGAGGAAAAGAAGAUGGAGCUCUGCGAAAAAAGAAUCGCUGACUUGAAUACUCUCACCGCUGGAACCUGCGUUUGCAUGGAGUACCUGAAAAAGAAAAUAUCAGAGCCGAAUCCAUCCGCAUUUGUGUGGCCACCUUUCCACAGGAGGGCAAAACUCUUCCGGAUAAGAUUGAUACUGUCCACCGCAUUGGGAAGAGAAUUUUGAACACCGCAAGGCCACGAGCAAUCAUCAUCCAGUUUUGCUCACGCGUGACGAGAGAUGGUGUGUGGAGAGCGGCGAAAUCGUCAGAGUUCUUGUGGGCAAAUGGUCUUAGGUUUACCUAGGAUCUUACUGCUUUUGACCGGGAAAUAAGGCUGCUGCUAUGGCCGGCAAAAGGCCCGCAAGGAGGGGAAAAGGGCGCACUUCGUGGGUCAUCGUGCGUUCAUCGAAGGCUCUGAAAUUAACCCUGUGAAAUUAACCCAGUCUGUUCAAACUGUUUAAACUGUUUAUCAUUUCAAGAGAGAUUUUUCAAGUUCUAGUUUCCUUUUCGUUACGAAUCAGGUCACUAUUAACGGCUGUAAACAUUCUUGACUUGGUUUCAUCAGCAGCAGUGUUCAUGUUUUCAAACUCAGAAAGCUCUGUUCAUCUUUUUUCUUCGUUAAGAGUUCUUUUUGUACGUCUAUUUCUGUUAUUUCUCUCAAUGCCAGGGGUCUUAGAGACAAUACCAAAAGGAAAGCCUUAUUCCUGUAUGCUAAUUCGUUCAAGACUGACUUUUGUUUUUUUCAAGAGUCCCACUCUGUCGCGAGUGAUACUGCUUUUUGGUAAAAUCAGUGGAACAAUGACGUUUGGAUGGCUCACGGUUCGGAACAUUCAGCUGGAGUUUUAAUUUCGAAAAACCUUUUUGCUGGGGACAUUUUGCACCAUUUUAGCGACCCAAAUGGACACUUUCUGUUUUUGGUAAUCUGUUUAAAUAAUGCUGUGAUUAAUAUCUAAUUAAUGUCUAAUUAAUAUAUAUGGGUAUAAUACUUCUUGUGAAAAUGACUUACUGCUUGAAGCAAUUGAAGAAAAAAAUUAUACUAAGGCUUAAUGCAUACCCAAAUGCUUUAAUUUUCACUGGUGGCGACUUUAAUAUUGUGCCUGAUAAUAUUCUUGAUUUAUGGAUAAAUUUGAUAUUAUCGAUAUUUGAAGGGUGAAAUUCCCAAAUAUUAGAUCUUAUACUUGGAGUAACAAAAGUUGUUCUAGACAGUCUCGUAUAGACUAUUGGCUGGUUUCUCUGGUUUUGCUGGUUUGUCUGUCAGAGAUUUUAAUGUUUCUGUUAGAAUUCUACCUUCCCCCAUGACUGACCAUAAGGCGAUUCUUAUUCAGUCCCCUCUAUCUUCUGUUUUCUCUCCUUCAAUAUCUAGAGCCUCUUACUGGAAGCUUAACUCUUCUUUGCUUAAGCAUGAUCAGCUGAGAAAAAACAUCUUAUUUUUGAUUGAAUAUUACUGGAUCAGAGCACAAAAAGAAGACAAAUAUGGCCCUAACUGGGAGCUUCUUAAACACGAAGUUAGCAAAUGUGCUAGACAUUUUGGUAGUAAUCUAAUGAAACUCAAAAGACAUGAAGAGGAGACUAUCGUCUCUAAAAUAUUGUCCCUCUUUAGUAAAAUGCAGGAUGGAUUGUUCAGAUUCAGAGCUAACAGAAUUUGCUGAUAUGCAAACUCAGUUGGAUUCAAUCUACAAGUAUAAGGCAGAGGGCUCUUUUAUUCACUCUAGAAGAAGAUGGUUAGAGCAAGGUGAGCAAAGUACAGCAUACUUCUUUAGAAUGGAAAAGGAUAUUUCUAGAAAUUUAGCAAUCAAUUCUUUAAAUAUUAAGGGUACCGUUACUUCUGACUCUAAAGUAAUCAGCUCAUUUUGUGCAAAUUUCUGUUCUAAUCUUUACAAGUCUAAUUAUUGCAAGAAUUCAGCUUUGUCUUUUUUUCAGUCUUUGAAAGAUAUUAGAUCAUUAUCUAAUGAAGAUAAGAUCACCUGCGAUAGGGAUAUAUCCAUUGAUGAAAUAAUUGAGUCUAUUGAAGCACUUAAAAGCAAUAAGUCGCCAGGCACAGAUGGGCUAACUGCCAAAUUUUACAAAAGUUUUGCUCAAGAUUUAGCACCUUUCUUAUUUAAGACUUAUUUGGAGAGUGUUGCUUUUGAAUCACUUCCACCUACUUUAUCACAGGGGUUAAUUACUUUAAUACCUAAACCUAGAAAAGAUACUCUUUUGAUUGAUAACUGGCGUCCAAUUUGUCUCUUAAAUUGUGAUUAUAACAUAUUAGCUCUGUUACUGGCUAAAAGACUUAAACGUGUUCUGGGUACAAUAAUAGAUAAAACCCAAUCAGGCUUUAUUCCAAAGAGACAUAUUGCUAACAAUAUACGCCUUGUUUUAGAUUUAUUAGAUUAUGAUGAUUUGAUUAGUGAAGAAAGGUUUGGUUUUUUUUUUUUUAAGAUUUUUAUAAAGCCUUUGAUUCACUUGAACAUGAUUUUAUUUUACAAUCCCUCUAUAAGUUUUGUUUUGGUGAUUUCUUUUGCAAAACUGUCCAAACUUUAUACAAUAAUGGCAACUGCUCAAUUAAUCUUAAAUUUGGCACUUCUCCAAGGUUUGAUAUAUUUAGAGGGGUUUGCCAGGGUUGCCCGGUUUCACCUUAUUUGUUCUUGAUAGCUGCUCAUCUACUUACUACUUUUCUGUCUAAUAGUCAAUUGCAAGGUAUUAAUAUAGAUGAUAAACAUAUUCUUAUAAGCCAAUUAGCUGAUGACACCACACUCUUCUUAAAAAGUGAUUUACAGAUUCCUAUUGCUCUUAUUAAUAUCUUUUCUAAAGCUUCUGUUAUACGUUUGAAUUUAGAUAAAUGUGAACUUCUGCCAAUAAAAUCUUGUUCUGCCCCUUUCUUGCGCAAUAUUCCUGUUAAAUCUCAAGUAAACUAUUUAGGUGUAAUUAUUUGUAAAGAUGAUAAUGCUAGAGGAAGAUUCAACUUUGAUCCAGUAAUUACUAAAGCUAAGAAAAAGUUAAACUCCUGGCUCCAAAGAGACUUGUCUUUACGAGGUAGGGCUCUCCUCGCCAAAGCAGAGGGUAUUUCCAGAUUAAUCUAUCCAGCUCUUUGUAUGCUGAUAAAUCAGUUUGUGUAAAGGUUGAUAGAAUAUCUCUAAAUUGCCCGUCAGAUUAUCAAAUUUCCAGGUGCUUUUGGCCUGGCACUUAAUUUACAAACACAAUUUUAGUCCCCACAGGUACAUUUGGAAUAACCAAGAUAUUCGAUACAAAAAUAAAUCUCUUUUUUUUCCAGAUUGGUUUAACAAUAAUAUUCUUUUGGUUUCUCAGCUCAUAAACUCAAAUGGUUAUUUGUUUUCUUAUUCUGAAUUCCUAACUAAUUACUGUAUUCCUGUCACCCCAUGAGACUUUGCCAUAGUGAUGCUAUCCCCAGUGGAGCUAUUGCAUUUUCAAGGGCGUAGUUUUAGCAUGGACGCAAGGGACGCGUCCCCACCAAUGUUCAGCGAUUACUAAAUUGUCCCCACCAAUAAUUUUAUACCCUCCAAAAAACAGAUUCUCAUUGGGUGCAACAGGAAGGGUUAAAUUCGGUUCCUUUCUGGCGUCCUAGCAAUAGAUAUCUUCCUAUCGUUGCAAAAGUCCUUGAUAUUUUGAUUCUGUUUGGGUUAUCAGGAAAACAUGCAAUGUGAUUGGCUGUGCCUUACCUUGCUGUCACGUGACAAUACGUUUGGUUGGCAGCGCGACGAGACAGUAGCCUAGAUAUCGAAGAGAUGGCAGCCAAAAGAAAGAAGGUCGAUAUAAGGAGCUAUUUUGUAAAGAAACCUGUAAGUCACUUAUAGUCAAGUCCGCUAAUGAAAUUUGUUCAACUUAAUAACGUUAAUGACAUCGUUGGGUUUUGCUGCACACCAUAUAGUAUAACAGGCUGAUCAUCUGCACGAUUCUAAUUGACAUGCAUAGGCUAUCCCAUUUUGUCAGGUGACCGAACCAACAAAUAGCUCAGACAGCGAUGGAGAGACAGGGUCACAGGUGAAUGAUGAAUGUGACCUGAUAGGCUGUAUGUGAAGCUGUGUGACUGCAUAUAUGGAGUGUCUCAUUUAACAGGUGACAGAGGCAGCUCAGCCUUGUUGUAGCUCAGAAAGCGAAGCAAGGGCACAGGUGAAUCUGAAUGCUAUUUUGAUACAAUGGACUACUAGCAUCGUGAUAAAUGUUAAAGGCAAGCUAAUGCCCACUGGCGCUGACAUGAUUUGGGAUGCGUCAGAAUUCUAAACUUUAGCGCUGUUGUCAAGCAUGUGCAUAGCAGCACAAUUAGGAGUAGUGCACAGUUUUAACUAACAACAUUAUUUGCUCCAUUGAAAACAAUGGGUCAAAGGUGAGGUUCAUUAAGUAUAUAGUUAUGGUUUAAAUAUAGGGAUAAAAUGUAUGUAAUCUAUUUAAAAUGAGGGGUGGGACUAAUUGUAUAAUGUGGUCUAUCUCUAAGGAAACCGGUACAUCUGUAGUGAGCAACAGGGAGAGGAGCAGUGAGAGUGAGGAAGAACAGUGUAUAAGUGGAGAUUUUCAGGAGCUCAUUGAAAAUAAGCCAAACCAGCCUAACCCCAAAUACAUCCCAGUUCAAACACUGGUCUGCAGGGUCCUUCAUUUUCAGGAGAGGUGGUACAAGACUAUCCAUGGCUGUUUAGUUUUUGUUUGUUUACCUGGUUCUUUAUGUAUUGUUUAUAUUUCCACUGUUGUUGUCAAAUUUUGUUUUGAGCUGUUAUCCUGUUUUUUUUACUUUUUUGUACAUUCAAUUAAAAAAAAAAAAAUGACCAUUGUAUUGUAGGAGUGCAUCAUGACUCAAACACAUGCACAGGACACACAUGCUGAUUGGGAUUUUGAAAAAAAUUGAUGCAGUUUUCCAUGCCUGUCCGUUUAAUAAUCACACUAUUAAACACAUUUCAGGAAAUGGGAAAUAAUUUAAAACUCGUUAAAACACUGGUAUGGUUAAAUACACUCACUGGACUCACACAGACUAGGCACUAUUUGCCCUUCUUUUUCCUAGAAUCAUCCAAUUUGAUUUUGGUUGGUGAUUAAUUGAUUGGGUUGUUGGUGUUUAAUCGAUUCAGGUAAAAAUGUCCCUAAAACUCACUCUAUGCAUGCACAUAAUUUUAGAUAGCUUCACAUACAAAAAACACAGAUUUUUAGAUAGAUUAUCUAGAUUAGGAUCCACAUAAUCCAGGGGUCUUAAAUUCAAAUUCUGUGCUACAUCCAUAGACUCCCAUCGCUCUCUCUCUCUCUCUCUCUCUCUCUCUCUCUCUCUCUCACACGCGCGCACACACACACACACACACACACACACGCACGUUAUGGUCAAAAAAUAACUUGAAAUAAAGUUUUCAAUUUUGACCAAGAAAAAGCAGAGCAAAUUUCAUUUCUAUACGCAAAACAGCUGAUGAGAUAUAUGCAACUGUUUGUUAUAGCACCCCCUGUGGGCCAAUUGUUAUGAAAUUUGAGGGGUUGCAAGAGAGUGUCCUACUGACUAUGUAUUGUAAAGUUAUAAAACGAAGUUUCACUGUCCCAUAUUUUACAAAAGAUAUGCUUGUUUUUAUAUGCAAACAUGAACAGAUCCCCCCAGAGGCCGAGAUCAGUGAGACUAUAUCAAUUAUUAUAAUGCAGCUCCAUAAGCAGCAAGCUGUGAUGCACUGUGUGUUCUGACACCUUUCUAUCAUAGCCAGCAUUAACUUCAGCAAUUUGUGCAACAGUAGCUCUUCUGUGGGAAUGGACCAAACAGGCUAGCCUUCGCUCCCCAUGCACCCCAUCAAUGAGCCUUGGGUGCCCAUGACCCUGUUCUUCCUUGAACCACUUUUGGUAAGUACUACCCAAUGCAUACCAGGAACACCCCAUAAGACCUGCCGUUUUAGAGAUGCUCUGACCCAGUUGCCUAGCUGUCACAAUUUGGUCCUUGUCAAAGUCACGCAGAUCCUUACGCUUGCCCAUUUUUCUGGCUUCCAACACAUCAGCUUUGAGAGCUGAAUGUUCACUGGCUGCCUAAUAUAUCCCACCCCUUGACAGGUGCCACUGUAAAGAGAUAAUCAACUAAAUGUUUAUCCAAAUAAAAGGAAAUUUUGAUGGUUUUAAACAAAUGAAUGUUUUUUUUUUUUUGUUUUUGAUUUUUUUUUAAAGAUAAGAUACACUGCAAUAGUUUAUUAAUGACUGAUACAAUUGGUCCUUUGGUAAAUCUGUUUGUCAGUACCCCUAAGUCAGAAUAAUGAAAUCUCCUACCAUACUUUUCACUUUUUCCCCUUCUUUACCUGAUCCUGUCUGAAACUACUGAAGGGAGACCUCACCUCUGAUCUUUAGACUGAAUCAGGCACAUAAGGGGAAAAAGUGAAAAGUAUGGUAGGAAAUUUCAUUAUUCUGACUUAGGGGCACUAAACUAUUGGAGUUUAUCUUUGUUUAUCUUUAAAAAAAAAAUUCAUUCAUUUGUUUAAAGCCAUCAAAAUUCCUUUUUAUUUGGAUAAACAUUUAGUUGUGGUGCAGAUGUGUUUAAUAUUUUAGUGAAUCUGGAUUAUUUGUUUUUUCUUACAACUAUCAAAGAGGAUAACAAAGCACACCGUGCAUCCAUUUGCCCCUAUUUCUAUAGACAUUACGUGGAUGUAUUGGAUGUUUUAUCACAAACUUGUAAACUUGCUCAUCCCUGAUUUCUGCAGAAGUGCAAUGUACCAUGAGCAUUUGUUUUACGUAUUUGUGUGUUUCAUGAUGGCAGCAGGCCAAGGAAGGGUUAUAAUAUGCACAUCCUUGUAAUAUUAUAUCUUGCAGCAACAGAUGUGUUUUGAACACUAAAAAUGAUUUGGCUAUUUUAAUCCAUUAUAAACCUGACAGAUCUUGUGACUUUGAAGAGCAAUUACUUUAGAAUUCUACAGUAGAAUUAAUUGAUCUUUAUUGUGAGCAUAGUGUAGGUCACCGUGAACUGAUGUAAGUGGGUUUGAUCUUCCGCCAAUUCGAAAUGUCCCUUUUAUAAUAAAUUAAAAUAGCUUCCUGGCACAAUUAUAUUGAUAGAUCUAAUGCUUUGAUUUAUAAUAAUAAUAAUAAUAAUAAUAAUAAUAAUAAUAAUAAUAAUAAAGGUUAUUAAAAGGUAUUAUUUUAAUUUUAAUUUUAUUUGGCUGAAUGCUUUAUGGCGUCUCUUGAAACUAAUCGAAUUGCCCAUUUUUAAAUGUAAACUUUUAGCCUGUAUACUCAUAGAUAUUGUGAACUGUUGUUUGUUUUUGUUACUGAUUUAUUUAAAAUGGUCGUUUUGUAGAAAGUUAAGUUGCUAUGGUUUUGUACAAGCAGGCGGACGCUCGUUUUCCGAAUUCGGCGCUAUUACCGAUAAGUGUCCGCCCCUAAAGCCGCGCCCCUAAAAUUUUACGUGCGGCUAAAUUAACCGUGGUUUCAGGAAGAGCAGCUCACUUAACCGCAGUGAAUCUUGGAACGGCUUCAAAGCUUUUUCCACAGUAAGGGCAAAACAUUUCAAUUUGUGAAACAGAAGAAAAUAAGUUCAUUUCAUUCAGUCGUUUUUGCUGGGCUAAGAUAACAGCAUACUGAAAAGUGUAGUUCCGUUUCACUUUGAUAGUCAUACCCCAUGUCCAAUCAGAAACGAGCACGUGAUGUUCAAUAAGGACCUACCCUGUCCGUUUUGAGUUCAUGGUGUUGUGUUUCUGGUUUAGCUGUUGCAUUUUUGGUUUGGUAAAGUGUUUUGCACUUUGGGGCCACCGUAGUACUGACUAGGCAAGCUGGCAGAGAAAGUUCGUGAAAUUCUUCCAAACACAGAGGGCAGAGACUGCAGUGCUGUUUAAGUCCACUAGAUGUCCCCAGUGUAUUAAAUAUUAUUGAUUGUCUUGAUUAGUUCGGGCUAGAAGAAGCUUGUAAGAUGGCAUGUUGAUAUACUGUAUAUAUACUGGGAGUGUUUUACACAGCAGAGGUGCUUUUUUCAGCACUGGAUGUCCUCUUCGAUGUACGCUGCCAGCACUCCAGAGGGAUGAAGCAAUACACGAAGGAUAAGCAAAGUGCAGCUUCAAGUUGUUUGAAUGGCCAUACAUGUGGCUUCACUGUGUACCAGGGGAGAAGAUACUGUGUACACUGCUUGGCAAAGAAGAAGAACAGCAAGGCCAUUUUCAAAUGCAGGUCUUGUGAUGUGCCAAUUUGUGUGAUUGCAGACCAACUAUGCUUCACAAAGUGACAUGAUCUGAACCUAAAUCCAGUACACUGACUGGACUGAAAUUGCAGGCCAGUGUGUGUCAGUAUAUAACAGCAUGUUUGGUAUGAACUUGGCCAGGACUACGACAGUGAAUGCAUAGUCCCAACAGUGAAGCAUGGAGGUGGGAAUGUGAUGAUAUGGGGCUGCAUUCGUACAAAAGGUGUUGGGGAGAUGAAAUUUGUGGAUAUACCAAAAUGCUGGCUUACAAGAUGACUCCCAGUCUCCAGAAGCUUGGCAAAAGAGUAAUAUUCCAGCAAGAUAACAAUCCAAAGCACAGUGCCAAAAUCACAGUUUCUAAUGAAGAAAAAAGUGAAAACUAUGACCUCGCCAAGUAUGUUGCCUGACUUUAAUCCAAUAGAACACCUUUGGGUUUUUUUUUAGUGAGAAAGGUAGAGCAGCACAACCCUUCCAGCAAAGAGCAGCUGAAAAAAUUUUCUCUGAGGAAUGGCAGAACAUCUCUCCAGACAUUGUGAAACACAUGUAUCCUCCAUGCAGAGGAGGAUUGAGUCUGUCAUCAAAAAUAAAGGUGGACAUAUGAAGUAUUUAAAAAUAAAAAGUAUUUAAAAAGUAUUUAUUUGAAUCUCAGUAAUGAAAAAUACAGACUUUUGUUGCAUUGAAUUCCUACUGUGGGGCCUGUAUUUUUAAUAUAGCAAAUCUAAACUGUUAGUUUUUUUUAAUUUUACAUAAGAGCAAAUACCCUACUGUUCAACUUAGAAGUAAUGCAAUUACUGUAAGUUGAUAGAAUUUUGAAUCAUUUAACAUUUAAGGGAUAUUGCACAGGGAUGUACUCACUUCUGUUGUAUACUGUUGGUAUAUAGACAUUUUAUCAUUGUUGUUGAUCUGCUUGUUCUUUGUUGUUCAUUUGUAAAUAAAAAAAAAAUUAACUGUAUUAUGGAUCCUUCAUUCUAUGUGAUGUUUUCCUAGUUAAAAGCACGUACUGUAAAAUAAAGUAGCCCAUGCAGCCCAUACAAGACCCAGACAGUGCCCGCAUACAGCCUAUGCAGGACCCUCUAUGUACCCUUGUUGCUGUUCCAUAAUACAUAGGCCCUACAUGUGGCCUAUCUGGGCCCCAUCAUUAGCCCAUAUGGGGCCACCAUGGAAACUGCAGACAAAAGAUGUUGGGGCCCAGCUUGGCUGCCCCCCAUGGGCCCGAGUUUUAAGCCCAUUUGGGACCCAUGUGGGCCCUACAUGGACAUGCUGGCUGGGUAAUUACUUACACGGUCAAAUUUACAGAAAAGCUCUCAAAUUAAACCGACUCAAGAGCGCCCUCUACGGCUCUACUAAAUUACAUGCCAUUUCCCGGAAAGACUAUGGUUUCUUACUCAGACCCAGCUCUCUGGGAUCCUUUUGACGCUGUAAUGAAUUCAUUUAGGGUCACUGUCUGGUGCACCAUGCUGAUAUCAACGUUAGCAUAAAACUGUUCAUAGAUUUUACGUGAUUAAUGAGGAACGUGGCGCAUUUGAGAAUUUUCAGUAUUCUUUGAAUAUUUUAAAAUUUAAAUAGUGUUUGAAAGCUUAAGGCGUGUUGUAUUGUUUUGUUUAAUGUGGCUUUUCAUUCAUCUUAUUUUUUAUUUUAUUGUUUAUUUAUUUAGGAUUGUAAGGAAUUACAAUAAAUCUCUCAUCCGGCUUUAUUUUUGGACCAGAGUCCAAAAAUUGUGAGUGAUAAAUCCAUUCGUAUUUAACAAUCACACAAAAACGCAAGCCUCUUGUUGCUGUUGGAAUAGUGUGCAUAUCUGCGUAUGCCGAAACCACAACACUGUCCUUACAAUCUCACGUAGCAUGCAUAGCUCACAACGGCGUGAUUUCUCGGAAAUCACCCCACUUAACUUUGAGCGCGCCUGUAUUUCGGUCACACUGCGCGUGCGCCGAAAGCUGGGUUGUCUUGAGUUGGGAAAGCCCCAACGCCUAUAACUAUAAAGACGCACGCUCCUUAGACACAAACAUAGUUUACAACCGUUACGGAGAGCAGCGUGCACUAGACCAAGUGGAAUAACUUUCCUACCUAUCGUCUUUCCUUCAUUUCAUUAAUCAUUCCGGAUACUCAGAACCAUGCCUGUGUCCAGAAUGCGCAUGCGGCCCUGGUUAGAGGAUAUGAUUGACUCGAACUCAGUUGCUGGACUUGUCUGGGUAGAUAAGG
This is an RNA transcript of Pangasianodon hypophthalmus (striped catfish), 18342 nucleotides long. It is a transcript of the gene named interferon regulatory factor 1b, with no coding region annotated. The record is from RefSeq and is a predicted model, not a curated record. The transcript is spliced from 8 exons. NCBI's taxonomy places the organism in Eukaryota, Metazoa, Chordata, Actinopteri, Siluriformes, Pangasiidae.